UUCUGCCUACGGGGGGCAGCAGUGAGGAAUAUUGGUCAAUGGGCGGAAGCCUGAACCAGCCACGUCGCGUGAGGGAAUAAGGCCCUACGGGUCGUAAACCUCUUUUACCGGGGAGCAAAGGCGGGGACGUGUCCCGGCCCGGAGAGUACCCGGAGAAAAAGCAUCGGCUAACUCCGUGCCAGCAGCCGCGGUAAUACGGAGGAUGCGAGCGUUAUCCGGAUUUAUUGGGUUUAAAGGGUGCGUAGGCGGGCUUUUAAGUCAGCGGUAAAAAUUCGGGGCUCAACCCCGUCCGGUCGGUGAAACUG
RNAcentral lists this ribosomal RNA (305 nucleotides) under uncultured bacterium. RNAcentral describes it as "bacterial SSU rRNA". It matches the Rfam family "Bacterial small subunit ribosomal RNA", at positions 333 to 635 of the family's 1533-position model. The record is from RNAcentral.